UUGAAUACCCACUGCAAAAAUAUAAAGCUUUUUUAUUAUUCUUCUGCUGUACGGUGGGGGACAGAGAAGUGACUUUUUUGUUGUUGCGGGUGCAUUCUUAUAACACACACAGAAUCAGCCAUUUGGAUUUUUUAAGCCAUAAACGAUUUUUUCCCCUCUUGUUCCAGGGACCGCAGUUAAAAGCUAGGGCUAGGACUUGGAGGAUGUGUAGGCAAACGGAAGGAGAGCCGGGGGAAGAAAAGCCGAAAUGGAUUCAUUCUCCGUCCUGGCUGGAGGAGGAGAGGAGCGGGGACGUGCGGGCUGCCUGCAGCUGCCUCUGUCCGGUGAGAAGUGCUCAGAGCCCCGCGGCUGACUCGGGCUCAGGAGUCCGCGCGGACUUUCGCUCUAAGCUGCCAAUCAAACCGCUAACUAGCCACCACCCUGCGCUGGCACCGACAUGAGCCGAGGGAUCGCCUUGUGCCAGAGCCACCUCCGCAGCCCCUUCGGCCACCCCAGCCCCGAGCAGAGGCUGAGCACAUCUGAAUAUUCCUAUUCAACUCUGCAAACAGCCAGAGAUACUCCAAAACCGUGCGUGAGACCAGAUGAUGUGAAACUUUCCACCAUUAAACCCCUGUUCAGGCGCGCUCCAGAAGCAGGCAGCGCAUAGCAGCCCGGGGAUGCUGACAGACUGUUUGUCAUCGGAAGCCCUAAGCAGGUUUUUCCCCACUAACACCGCGUGCUGCGCUGUGCUCCCUUUCAGAAGAUGCUCUUUAAGUAUAGGAACACUUGACAAAUUUGCAUAAAAGCUUCAUCGUACAAGAUUGCUUGGAAGUUAAGCAGCAGCAGUUUUCCCCUAUUGUUUUAGGAAUAGAGAGUGCACUUUGUUUUCUUGUUUGCUCAGUGUACUUCCUGAUCCCUUGGUGCAUUUCUGUCAGCAUCACGGGACCUUGCUUACCUGGUAGAUUUUAAGUGUGAAAUGGGUCAUGUUCAAAGUACCCGAAAAAAACAACAGUAAUGGUGUCUGACAACUUUUUUUUUUUUUUUUUUUUUUUGCUCUUGUUAAAUAAUAUUUCAUGGUGCAUUAAGUGGGUUACGCAGCCUCUUCUGAGGAGACCACAGCAGUGUAUUGCUGCGUGCUCUGUGCUGUCGUCAGGCUGUUAGUUCUUAACUGGAGAAAAGCUGAAGGCAGCUGGAAUCCCUUCCUGAGCCUUUUCUCAGUUCUGAAUUUGAUAAAAAAUGGCAAUAAUUUGGAGACAGAUAUAGAAAGAAAAAAUAAAAAUGAUUUCACAAUAAGCCCCUUAGUGUGC
RNAcentral lists this long non-coding RNA (1286 nucleotides) under Numida meleagris (helmeted guineafowl). Its description in RNAcentral is "lncRNA (ENSNMEG00000019315.1)". The stretch from base 176 to 438 matches the Rfam family "SOX2 overlapping transcript exon 3". The record is from RNAcentral. Lineage: Eukaryota; Metazoa; Chordata; Aves; Galliformes; Numididae.